Molecule: long non-coding RNA, 4329 nt
Organism: Dermochelys coriacea (leatherback sea turtle)
Lineage: Eukaryota; Metazoa; Chordata; Testudines; Dermochelyidae
Exons: 2
Source: RefSeq, a predicted model, not a curated record
ACCGGCUCUCUGCCCCGGCUGGCGAGCACCGCCGCCCUUCGGCCCGCGCACAGCGCUGUGUCGGCGCCACUGCGCCUCCUCGCCCCGAAUGCUGGCAUCUCUGUACAAUGCGAAAUGCACCGCGGCCAGCUAAACUACCCCCGCCGCUGUGGGGCUCGCUGCCUCGCGGAUCAUUUGCACGGUGUUCCGUGGGGAAACCAGCGAUCUGCCCAGGGCUUUGGGGGAGCUGGGGAUCAUGUUGGCACCGUGCCGAGUUCCAGACCCGUAAUAUCCGCACUUUUUAAAACAGACGGACGGACGGACAAACAAAAACCCUCCCAUUGUCCCGGUCCUGCUUUGAGCAGGGGGUUGGACUAGAUGAUCUCCUGAGGUCCCUUCCAACCCUGAUAUCCUAUGAUUCUAUGUCUCCGCCAUCUCGCUCACAGAUCUGGGCCCUGCAAGAGCUCAGCGCAGUGUUCAGGGGUGUUGCUGAUGCAGGACAUAUCAUUCUCCUGUGUUUGCAGAGCUCAAAGGGAUGGUGACGAUGGGGAGAAGUUUUUUCACAUAACUGGAUGCUGAUGGAUGUAGCGCCCCCUCCCCUCCCCACCCCCUCCCAAAAAAGCCAGGCGGCUGCUGGCAUUCACAGAGCAGCUCCACACAAGGAUCACUGCAUCCGGGCUCAAGAAAUGAGCAUUGAUUGGUGGAAUACAUCAUAAUGCACUUUUGAGACGACUGGGGGGGUUGUAGAAGUUUUGAGUUCAAAAGGCUGCGUUCCUGGAUGUGUGAGCCAAGCUUGCACCAGACAGACAAUCCACGGACCCCAAAUGAGAGCUGCAUUGAGAAGCGAGUGGCAGUCGUGCUGUGGAAGGUUGCAACACCAGAUUGCUUUCAGUCAGUGGCGUCUGUUUGGAAUUGGAAAAAUCACAGAGGGGGCCAUUGUUAUCCAAGUGUGUAGGGCUGUUAAAUAUCUCCUGCUACGCAGGACUGUGAAUCUUGGUAAAAUACAAGAAGUAGUGGAUGGAUUCAUAUCACUGGGGUUCCAGAACUCAGGUGGGGUGAUAGCACACACAUCCCUCUUCUGGCUCUAACCCACUUUGCCACCAAGUAUAUCAACAGAAAGGGAUAUUGUUUUCAUGGUUAUAUAACUGCUAGUGAAUCACUGAUGAUCUGUCACUGAUAUCAAGGUAGACUGGUUAGGGAAGGUGCAUGAUGUUUGCACGUUUAAGAACAUGUGCUUUAAAAAAAAACUGCAAGAAGGGACAUUUUCCCCAAUGGGCAGAUUACCAUAGGUGUUAUUGAAAUGCCGAUAUUGAUCCUGGUGCAAUACAGCCUACCCCUUGCUCCUCUGGCUCAUGAAUUUGUACACUGGUCACCUUGGCAGCAUCAAGGAAAGAUUCAACUACCAUCUCAACAGGUGCAGAAUGACUGUUGAAUAUGCUUUUGGUAUAUUGAAUGGACACUAGCAUGGCUUAUUUAGUAGAUUGGAUCUCAGAGAGGAGAAAUAUCCUCCGAGUUAUAGCUGCAUGGUGUGUAAUGCAUUAUAGCUGUGAGACAAAGGGUAAAAGCUGCCAUCGGGAUGAAGGGUUGGCAUGAAUAGGCUGCUGAAUUUGAACAGCAAGAGACAAGGGCUAGUGGAACAGCCAACUGUAGAGCUAUACAGCUGAGGGAGAUCUUAAAAGGCCAGUUUGUCAGUCAGCCACAAUGGUGUUGUCUAAUGUUAUUACAUAACGCCUCUUGGGUGUUCUUACUAUGGGUGGGGCUUUGCUUCCUGCUAUUCACUGUAGUUCCUGAUGUAAACUAAUAAUGAUACGGAGUCUCCAAAAAAUAGAACUUCAUUAUGUGCAGAGAACAAAGUUAAGUGUAACAAACAAAUGCUAAGUUUAAAAAAAUCUUUUUACCAACACUGUGACUUCGAAAUCCCAAUUGAAAACAGAGGUAGGGCAGGGAACAUUUAUGUCCAUGUAUCUGAAACCUGCAACAACAUGGCUACAUAUACGCUGCCCUGUGGUUUUCACAGGUACCAGUGUAUGUGUAGCUAUUGUUCUCCUUGUUCAGUGUGGAGUGAUAGGCAUAAGGAUGUACACCAUGGUGGUGUGGGAGUGUAGUGAGCAGCGACUAUUUUUAAACAAGGAGAAAGGUGGGGGAAGGAGAAAGAGAUGAGCACACACUGGGAAAAAAUUGACAAGCUUGCAGUUAUGUAAGUAAACCACAAGAAUGUGAUAACGGAGUCCUUCAUCUAUUAACUAAUUAGGUCUUCUGCUCUUUUGUAUCUUUCUUAGGCACCAAUACACUUUAAUUUAUUUGUUCUUUCAGAGCCAAGUAUAUUACAAAAUUGGACCAAACCAAUAAUUGAAAAUAGUAAUAAUAAUAAUAAUAAUCCCCCCAAUUGAACAAUAAGAAACACUUGCCUGAUGCUCAACUGGGUGGACAGGACUGCAGAGCCUUUGCUAUUUUUUUUAAAGUUCUAAAUCAUUGUUUUUUCUGUGAUUUUUAGUUCUAAAAAUUUCAACCAUUUUGAUGCAAAAAGCUGUGACUCAACAUCCUUCACAAAUAUAGGCUUGUGGUAAAAACCUGGAUCUUUAACUUUUACAUUCCAUCAGAAACUUUCAUCUUUUUUCUGGCUUGACCUUUGUAUUUUGGCUCAGUAACAGGUUUCUCUGAAUCAUUUUCAGUUUGUCCUUGUGUUGUUCCAUUUCUUAGUUAAUUACAUCAGACCAAAUUUCCACUGAGACUUCAGUGAUUUGUAAUCUGUUGAGUCUGUCUGAGUAGGUCUCACUUCCAUGGGCUCUGUAGACUCCCCCCAGCUCAACAGCUUCGGACUUGCAAGGCUCAUGUUAGUACCCUACAAAUAGAUGUGUAGACAGUGUUUUGAGGUUGCGACUUUGGCUUUGAAGCUUAUGGAGGGCUCCUUUCUGAGGCACAACUUUAAAGCACAGUCUACACAGCUAUUUUAGAUCACUAUUCCAAGUCUGUCAACCUGGACUAGGAGGCUCACUUCUGCAGCUGUGUAGACAUACCCUCUAAAUUUGCUUUUUAGUGCCAUGUGAAAAAUGUGCUUUUUUUAAAAAUCUAUGGCCUUAUCAUAUAUAUGCAAAUUCCAACAUUAUUUAUGGUAGCUGGAUGCAGCUAUGGAGAGAGAAACUUUUUGAGAAUUCUGCCAUCUGUCUUGGAGAAACUGGGACAUUAAGUCCCAUUUUUUUCAACCAAAAUGAAUCUGAUGGUGGUUACAGAACUUUUGAAUGCAUUUUAGAACUGUUAGGUAUUCUCUCUUCCUCAGUGAGGUUCAAAUACUGUGGUGAACACUCAUAUAUCAGAAGCUAAGGAUGAAUCUACCUGAGACCUUCACUCAUCUUUUUCACUUUACUUUUAUUGCCAGAGCCAAUGGCAAAGACUUCCUCGGGAUAUUUCUCUUCGUAUUCUUGGAUGGUAUCUUCAGCAGCUUGGACACAAUAUUCUCCUUUUUUCUAUUUAGAAAUAAACUCAGUAGCAUUCAUUGGGAUUGUAGUUUUCUAAGAAUGGCUGCUUAUAGCUGUUGGAGGGUCAUUUUUCAUGUUUCAUCAUCCUUCCUUAAUAUCAACGCUGAUCCUUUUAGUCCUUCCUUUACUAUUUCUCUGUUUCUAUUGAAGUGCUUAACUCUGCAGUGAAGAUAUAGCUUUAACUUGCAUUAUUUAAAGUUACGUCUCCUGAGCUAGGCUAACUUGAGUGAAUGGGACCCACUUGGACUUGUCUUCACUGCAAAGUUAACUCAACACAGAACUUGAGUGUUAUGCUAACAUGAGGCCCUCAUCCACAGAGACAAACUCUGAACUUGAAUGUGGUGGUGCUUUUAAUCCUUGUUGGCUGUCUCAUUGGAGGGUAUAGGCUAACACUUGAGUUAGCACAACUCAUCAGCUGCUAAUUUGUGUCCACAGCUACAGAGUGUCUUAUCUCCCUUCAAGUGCUGCUAGUCCUCCAGCACUUUCCCACAAUUCCUCCCAUGUGCCCAGGAAAUAUAGAAAAGUCCUCCCACAAUUCACUGGGAAAGAAUUCCUGGAGCAAUUCAGCUAACUACAACAUUAAAAACCCUGGAUAUACACCCAGAAGUCUUAGGCUAUGUUGUUACUGACAAAAAUGGUAUGUUUUUACCACAGGAUAACUAACAGAUAUGUUAGCUAUACUGCUGUAAAAUCCCAGUGGAGAUAAGGCACUACUUUUAUUUAAAAGUAAACUAGGUGAGGUCAACUACAGACAGGAAUAUAGUGUUGGCCUUACCUAGGUAUCUCGCGAUAAACAAUAAAAGUGCUUUGUCUGUACUUAGGAUUUUACAGUGGGAUAAAUGUUGUCUGUUAUCUAGCGUAAACAAACAAAAAC